Transfer RNA from Puccinia triticina 1-1 BBBD Race 1, 104 nucleotides. It matches the Rfam family "tRNA". From Rfam's summary of the family: Transfer RNA (tRNA) molecules are approximately 80 nucleotides in length. Their secondary structure includes four short double-helical elements and three loops (D, anti-codon, and T loops). Lineage: Eukaryota; Fungi; Basidiomycota; Pucciniomycetes; Pucciniales; Pucciniaceae. The record is from Rfam.
GGACAGAUGGCCGAGUGGUCUAAGGCGCCGUCUUAAGGUGACCCUGCCAUCGGCAGGCAUGAUCCGGUGGUCUUCGGGCGUGGGUUCGAAUCCCACUCUGUUCA